CCUACGGGCGGCAGCAGUGAGGAAUAUUGGUCAAUGGACGCAAGUCUGAACCAGCCAUGCCGCGUGCAGGAUGACGGUUCUGUGAGUUGUAAACCGCUUUUGUAAGAGGGUAAACGCCGAGACGUGUCUCCGGUUGAGUGUACCGUACGAAAAAGGAUCGGCUAACUCCGUGCCAGCAGCCGCGGUAAUACGGAGGAUGCGAGCGUUAUCCGGAUUUAUUGGGUUUAAAGGGUGCGCAGGCGGUUUGUUAAGUUAGAGGUCAAAUGCCGGGGCUCAACCCCGGAACCGCCGUUGAUACUGGCAGACUAGAGUAGGGGAGCGGUAGGCGGAAUGUGAGGUGUAGCGGUGAAAUGCUUAGAGAUCGCACAGAACACCGAUUGCGAAGGCAGCAUGCCGGCUUAAAACUGACGCUGAGGCACGAAAGCGUGGGUAUCGAACAGGAUUAGAUACCCUAGUAGUC
This 460-nucleotide ribosomal RNA is filed under the name uncultured bacterium. RNAcentral describes it as "partial 16S ribosomal RNA". It matches the Rfam family "Bacterial small subunit ribosomal RNA", at positions 338 to 795 of the family's 1533-position model. The record is from RNAcentral.